This 257-nucleotide ribosomal RNA is filed under the name uncultured bacterium. RNAcentral describes it as "partial 16S ribosomal RNA". It matches the Rfam family "Bacterial small subunit ribosomal RNA", at positions 73 to 334 of the family's 1533-position model. The record is from RNAcentral.
CUUGCUUCUUUGCUGGCGACCGGCGCACGGGUGAGUAACACGUAUCCAACCCGCCCUUUACUCGGGGAUAGCCUUUCGAAAGAAAGAUUAAUACCCGAUAGUAUAAUGAUUCCGCAUGGUUUCAUUAUUAAAGGAUUCCGGUAAAGGAUGGGGAUGCGUUCCAUUAGGUUGUUGGUGAGGUAACGGCUCACCAAGCCUUCGAUGGAUAGGGGUUCUGAGAGGAAGGUCCCCCACAUUGGAACUGAGACACGGUCCAA